GAUGAAGAACGCAGCGAAAUGCGAUAAGUAAUGUGAAUUGCAGAAUUCAGUGAAUCAUCGAAUCUUUGAACGCACAUUGCGCCCGCUGGAAUUCCAGCGGGCAUGCCUGUUCGAGCGUCAUUUCACCCCUCAAGCCUUGCUUGGUGUUGGAGCACUACCGUUUGUAUAAAGCGGUAGGCUCUGAAAUUCAGUGGCGGGCUCGCUAAGACUCUGAGCGUAGUAGUUUAUCACCUCGCUUUGGAAGGAUUAGCGGUGCUCUUGCCGUAAAACCCCCCAACUUCUGAAUUUUGACCUCGGAUCAGGUAGGAAUACCCGCUGAACUUAAGCAUAUCAAUAAGCGGAGA
This 344-nucleotide unclassified non-coding RNA is filed under the name soil metagenome. RNAcentral describes it as "partial contains 5.8S ribosomal RNA, internal transcribed spacer 2, and large subunit ribosomal RNA". The stretch from base 1 to 120 matches the Rfam family "5.8S ribosomal RNA", at positions 35 to 154 of the family's 154-position model. The record is from RNAcentral.